This is a long non-coding RNA of Parus major (Great Tit), 5506 nucleotides long. RefSeq lists it as uncharacterized. The transcript has 3 exons. Lineage: Eukaryota; Metazoa; Chordata; Aves; Passeriformes; Paridae. The record is from RefSeq and is a predicted model, not a curated record.
CCAGCUCUGGCUGACGUAUCUUUGGCGUUUUCAGCGUGUUACAGCCAGAGAGGAAGAGAAGUGUCUCAUCCGGCUGUGGCUGUCCUUGCCUUUCCGCUCCUGUCACCCAGACCUGGCACUGGGCUCUCCAGCGACCAUCUGCCUUCAGCUCUGGAGGGAGCGCUGCUCCGCGGAGCGCCCAGACAGACAGACCUACAGGAAAAGAUGGUGUGAGCCUCAAGGAACCUAGCUGUUAAGGAGAGACAGGAAUAUGCAAGUAAUUUAAUUUUUCAUGCAAAACUCUGCUAGGAACUACUAGACUUUCCAAAAUGUAUUCCAAAGAAAUGCAGAGAUAGAUUCCCGACCGGCAUUAAUCAGUGCUGAUUAAGUCAUUGAGCUACCCAAUUUCUGCCUGGUGUUUGUUUGAAGCUUUGGGUCUUGGAAGUUACCAGGACUAGGACUGAACUAGGAGUAUAUCCCUGUCCCUACAACCUGCCACUGUCAGGAAAAGCUGUUUACUGCAGUGGAGGUGGAGCUGCCUCUACAGUGAUAUAAGGAUAUAGGGUUAGCACAAGGCAAGUAAAAACACGUUGCACUGAUGGUGCAGAGGUUUGAGAGAAUGUGCAAAGCACAGGCUCCUGGGAAAUGGACAUUGUCACAUGUGGCUCGUUAGCACACUGAAGCUCUGACCUAGCAAAUAUUUACAUGCACUGAAGUGCACAUUUGAAAGGGCUAAAUAUACACCUGCUCCCCGCUUCAGCUGCCAGACAUCUCUAGACUCUGCAUUUAGUGCAAAUGUCUUUGACUCAAAAACAUAUGCUGCAGUUUUGCUGAAGAUGUAGGUGUAUUUUUAUAAUGGUUUGGUGCUGUUAUUGUAAAAGUAAGCCUUUUUUUUUUAAUCCUUCUCUCAACAUGUCAUAGAGUAUCCAACCAGCAUUCUGAGCAGUGUUUCACUGGGGAGGUUUAGGAGAAUUUUGGUCUUCUCCCCCUCUCCAGCUUCCUUUCCUCUCUGCAGGUGCAUUGGAAAUACUGCCCAUGACCAGAAGGUCAGCAAGAGGCUCCUCCUCCCCUGCCAUGAGCUCCCACUCCAGCCUGAGCAUCCCUGCCUGUGGACAACCUCCACCAUGAGACAGCAACCCCAAAGAGCUUCACCUGCUCUGCUAAACAGGACUCUGUGGACAAUGGGCCCUGGCAUCUCAGGAAGAAGAGAUUUCACAGCUCCUGCCUGCCUGCCAUGCCAGCCCUGCCUCUCCUGCCUGGGACUGCCAGCCUGGGGAGAACUUUUCACCCUCACUGACAUCACUGCUCUGCUGAGCCACUGCAGGCACCACCUCCUCCCCUCCCCUCUCUCUUGGCUCACUGCCACCCAAACCCACUGGGGAGCUUCAGGGGUUUUUUUUGUUCUCUGGUGGGAAAUUUCAUUUGACCCUUUCAAGUGGGACAAGAACAGAUAUUAGAUUUGUUGAUGAUGAAGUGCUUUUAUCUGAAUUCAACAAAAGAGCUACAAUGAAAAGAUUGCAGCUGUUGAGCAAAAGCACCGCACCUAUUACAGAGUUCACGUGCGUUUACAAGUGGCACAUCAGUGAAGGCUCUCCUCACCCUUGCAGAUGUACCUCCUUCCACAGAAAACUUGAUAAUCUCUCUCUCAGCUCUGCUUUUUCUACACACCCUUGGGAAAACGUGGUGUUUGACUGUCUUGCCAGAUCUUGCAGUGACAGAACUGCUAUUAGCAGAUUAACUUCAAGAUCUUGAGAGCUGUUACAAAAUUCAGAUGAAGAGUGCAGAGCUCACCAUCUAGGUGCAAAGCCACAGGUCCCCCGUCCCCAGGACACUGGAGAUGCCUUUCUCACCUCGCUGGACUCCAAGUGCAGAGCUCCAGGUGCACCUUUGUGCCUGUGAGUUUGAGGUUCAGAGCACUUCUGUGGACAAGUGGUGUCAUUCAGCAAAGCCUGCAGCAAAACUGUGGAAAUUCUUCAUUGACUUCUGCACAAUCCAGCAUUUGCUUUGCACUGAUGAAUGAAGUAAAGGUUCAGCUGAUUACUUCAUGCAGCUUCUACUCCCAAUAUUAAACCAUUGCUUCAUUCUCUAUUCCUAUGCCCUCACCAAAUAGUAGUACAUUAUUUUAUGGGAUAACCUCAUUUUCCUUCCCUUCUUCUGUUGCCUUUCUAAGGCAGACCUGGAGUUGGAAGAAAAAAAACCAAUGAGCUAGUCCUUGUUAGAGCAAUAAGGGAUUUUAGGCUCCUUCCUCAUCCCAAGUGGCUUUGGCCAUUUCCUUUUAUUCUUUAACAUUGUUUGCAUUAUUUACACAGCUGCUCCACUAACUUUUUCUUGUUAUGUGUUUGUUUAUUUCUUCCAAUUUUUUUUUUUUUUAAAUUUUAAGUUUUUCUCUUUAGGUUUUAAAACAACAUCAAUUUAUUUUUACCACUUCAAAAAAUUAUUUGCUUGUAAUUAAACCCUCACAUCUAAUAGUGCCUAAAUGUAAGAGUGACCUGUGUUUAUGAGGGGGACACAGGGGAAGGUUUUGAAAGCUGAACCACAUCAUUUCACGAUCCAUAAUCAGUUUUUAGGGGUUUUCCAUUAUAAUUAUUUCAAGGACCAGGUGUCCAAAAAGGUAUCAUUUUUCUCCCCAGCUUGUGCUAGAUGUUUUAAAAAAGGUAUUAAUGCAGCUGUACAGGUUAUAGCUGGGUGUGUGACUGCCCGCUGGAUUUACACGCGCAAUUACCCCAAAAGCACACAACCCUCCGAGACUCACACAUGCAAAAAUCCUCUUGGCUGGAAAACUCUUGGCAUGGAUGCUCCAUUUCCAUAUGCAGUCACACUGAAUAUGCACAUACAUUAGGUGCAGGAGCACACACGUAUUUUUCAAACUGGGGGCCUUGGUGUGAACCUAAAGAAGAAAAGACAAAUGCUGCGAAAAAGGGGCUUAGGUCAAAUUCAGUGAGCAAGGAUGAAUCUGCUGGGUUGGACUCGUGUUUUGUACCAGUGCACAUCAUUUUCUGCAAUUAAAUAUGCAAAAAAAGGGUGGAUUUUUAGUUUUUUUUCCUUUAUGCCUUUACAUCCUUUGAAAAUUUAUAAUCUUUAAUUUUCCCUUUCUGAUUCUAACAGAUGAAAACCAGCCUGAUGUAAAUUUUUGUCCAAAAGAGACAACUCAAUGAAAAAAAAAAGUGCUUCUGAGUAUUAACAUGUUUGAAAAUCAGGCAACCAAAGACUGUAAACAUAGACAUAGGUGUCUGAAUUUAGGCACCUAUUUUUUAAAACCUUGGCUUUGAAAAUAAAGUAUCUGAAUGUAUAUAGGAAAUAUAAAUCACCAGUCACUUUUAUUACAUGUAUGUUUAUAUAAAGACCUUAGAACACAUUUUUAAAAUGUAAACGUUUCUUAGUAUGUUUAACUAUGUGUCUAAAGAAGAUGUAGGACAGAAAGAAAACAAAAUUUGAUGAAUGUUUCUGAUCAAUCCUGAAGAAAUCAAUAGGAAUUUGCUCACAGCAUGAUUUCAUUUAAGUUUCCAUGCUAGGAACAGUAACCUGGCUUUCUGUUAAAGCAAAAGCAUUCGUACUUCUUAGUGAUUAAAUUCUCAUGUCAACAUGUAUCAGGCAGGCAGAGAAUGGUUUGGAGACUGGGAGGGGAAGCAGGAAUGGAUGGAAACACAUGGAAAUUGUGUGGACUGAGCUGUAUGGUUGGGUGACUUCAUUUCACCAAAACUAGUUUUUAAUAGAAAACGGAGUUUUCAUUGAGAUGCAUAUUUCCUCUCCCCUUUGAGGGAGCAGAAACUGUUUGUUUCUCAAACUAUCCUUUAAUGUUUGUUUGAAAAAUAUCUAACACCUGAGAAUAGGAACAGCUUGGUAGAGAAAAGAGAGAAAAGACAUUGAAUCCUGACCACUGCAUCAGUUCCUUGGUGGGAGCCACAGCCUGGGUGCCUGGGGUGUCUCCCAUCCCUGCAGCCACACACCCCACAACCUGCAGGAGUUUGGUAUCUCAUCAUGUACACUCUUAGUGUGCCACUGGAACACAAAAAGAAGAAGGGACAAGCCCAGACAAGAGAAUGAAGACAUGCAACCACAGCUCUUGUGAAUGAACUUGGGUUGUUUGGUUUUUUUUUUUUUUGCCAAAAGGAUAAGUAUUUUGGCUGAAACUCAAAUAUCACAACAAAGAAUUUUGUUUUGGAAAUGUCAUCAGGUUGGCUUUUUUUCCAAAAACCAGAUUUGAGUGAAGAAAGCCCCUGCUUUCCACCUUCCCAAGCAAGGCAAAACUGUUGGCACUCCAAGUUCCUAUAUUGAAGUUGCUUCUACUCCCUUAGCAGACCAGAACCUUGCAUGGUGUAUGGAAACCAAUGGAGCAUUCAAACCUAGAGAACAUCUGGUUUACAAUAUUUUCUUCUUGCUUUUUCAUGGUUGUGCUCCUGGAAGCACAUUUGGGUCUACAAGUGUGGGUGUGCACGUAUGUCUGUUCUUAUUUAUUCUAAAUAUAAACUGUUUUCUGAAAGGGCAUUAUUCAUAGACAGAUGAAAGAGCACUGUCCUUCUUAGAAGUCUGGUUCAAAACCCCAAGUUGACACUGGGUGCCAUACUGGACUAAAGCAAAGUGUGGAAAGAGUGUUCUCCAUAUUCUGACAGAGUCCUGGUUGGAAAGUUAUGGGUAAUAAAAAAGAUCCCAGCUUUGCUGCUUCAUUGAAUCCCCAGUUAUACAUAAAGCAGAUGUCAUCUUUGCAAUAUGCAAUGUGUAGGCAAAGAAACUCUAUCAGCCAGUGACAUCUGAGAGUGACAUUGCUUUGAAAUGCACCUUUCUAUCUGUGUACACACAAAAUUAUGUGUGCUCACACACACAGUCUAUAUGGCUUAAACACAAUGAUUUAUUAUGACUUUUUCCAUCAGAAUCCAGAUUUGACUGACCAUAGAAUUCAUACAAAAAAAAAGACAAAAGAAAUGUUUUAUUUCAGGCUGAGCUGAUGAGUGAGUCUGCAAACGAAAACACCACAAAAUCCAGUUUCAGCCCAACAAUCUAAAGAGGCUCUAUUAUUAUGAUCUUUAUUUUCAUUAUUUUGUGGGCAAGGUAUGAAGCAAAAUAGCUGUGUCUGUUUAGCUGCCUGAACAAUAGAAAAGUUUAUGCAGCUCCUGAGCUGAAAUGUUUUUGACAGUUUUCAAUUUUAGUUCUUUUGAUUUGGUAAGAAAUCUGCAAAAAUAUGAUUUUGAAAAUCACCAGUUUCAUGCUUUAUUCCUUUCUCAAAAUUAGACUAUAUUGUCCAACUCCUCUUCACUUACUGUGUCUGAGGGAAUCCUAGAAAAUAGCUGGGAAGAAUCAGUGCUGGGCUGUUGCUUAGAAACUGCCUGGGUUUCUAUAAUAUUGCCUGAUGUAAUAGUUAUAUUGCCCACUAGCAUCUGUUAACAAGCAAUACAACAGAAUCCACAGGUACCAAUAAAGAAACAAACCUGGAAUUCAUUACUUUCCUUGAAAAUUCAUCAGUGCUUUUUCUAGCUUGGCAAAGUGUUUUUCUCAGGUGCUAAUUAAUAAAAUAGGAGAUGUACUGCCUCUA